GACGAACGCUGGCGGCGCGCUUAAUACAUGCAAGUCGAACGAGAAGCCAGAGCUUGCUCUGGUGGAAAGUGGCGAACGGGUGAGUAACACGUGAGAAACCUGCCCAAAGAUUGGGAUAAGCCUUGGAAACGAGGUCUAAUACCAAAUACCUUCCUUUUAACACAUGUUAAAAAGAAGAAAAUAGCUCCGGCGCUUUGGGAUGGUCUCGCGAUCUAUCAGCUUGUUGGUGAGGUAACGGCUCACCAAGGCAUCGACGGAUAGCUGGUCUGAGAGGAUGUCCAGCCACAUUGGAACUGAGACACGGUCCAAACUCCUACGGAGGCAGCAGUAGGGAAUCUUGCACGAUGAGGGAAACCUUGAUGCAGCGACGCCGCGUGCGGGACGAGGCCUAGGUUGUAAACCGACGUUCUAGUAGGGACGGAAAAGUAGACGGUACCGUACA
Molecule: ribosomal RNA, 442 nt
Filed under: uncultured bacterium
Lineage: Bacteria
Description: bacterial SSU rRNA
Rfam family: Bacterial small subunit ribosomal RNA
Source: RNAcentral